CCUACGGGCGUGCAGCAGUGGGGAAUAUUGGACAAUGGGCGAAAGCCUGAUCCAGCCAUGCCGCGUGUGUGAAGAAGGCCUUCGGGUUGUAAAGCACUUUCAGUGGGGAAGAAAGCCUUGGGGCUAAUACCCUCGAGGAAGGACAUCACCCACAGAAGAAGCACCGGCUAACUCCGUGCCAGCAGCCGCGGUAAUACGGAGGGUGCGAGCGUUAAUCGGAAUUACUGGGCGUAAAGCGCGCGUAGGCGGUCUGAUAAGCCGGUUGUGAAAGCCCCGGGCUCAACCUGGGAACGGCAUCCGGAACUGUCAGGCUAGAGUGCAGGAGAGGAAGGUAGAAUUCCCGGUGUAGCGGUGAAAUGCGUAGAGAUCGGGAGGAAUACCAGUGGCGAAGGCGGCCUUCUGGACUGACACUGACGCUGAGGUGCGAAAGCGUGGGUAGCAAACAGGAUUAGAUACCCCGGUAGUC
RNAcentral lists this ribosomal RNA (466 nucleotides) under Vreelandella stevensii. RNAcentral describes it as "partial 16S ribosomal RNA". It matches the Rfam family "Bacterial small subunit ribosomal RNA", at positions 338 to 795 of the family's 1533-position model. Lineage: Bacteria; Pseudomonadati; Pseudomonadota; Gammaproteobacteria; Oceanospirillales; Halomonadaceae. The record is from RNAcentral.